This is a non-coding RNA of Phrynosoma platyrhinos (Desert horned lizard), 72 nucleotides long. Lineage: Eukaryota; Metazoa; Chordata; Lepidosauria; Squamata; Phrynosomatidae. The record is from the annotation of a GenBank genome assembly.
GGCCAGCGUGGCUAGUGGCUUGAGUGCUGAACUAUGACUCUGGAGACCAGGGUUCGAAUCCCCGUUUGACCA